CACAAAAAGGUGAGGUUUUGCCUUGAGCACGGAGCUGGAGGUGAGGGGAAUGCGGAGGCGAGAGGAUGGGGCUGCUUUUUCCAGUAGAAACAGAGGCUUAUGGCUGACUUCAACUGAUCAGGAUAAUUUCCACUUGCUUUUUUUAAAGGUGCUCCUAGACAAUACAUUCAGGUUUGAUUUCCAGUUUUAAAAUAUGCCCUCAUCUGCUUCUGCAAAACCUUUUAUGGAAGUUGUACUUAAACAUAAAGUAUCUAAUACUGUUUUAAGAAAACCUCCUUCCUCUGGAUAUUAAAAAUAUACAUUUACCAGGAAGAGUUGAACUUAACUACAUCAAAACUACCCAUUUGACACUGGAGUUGCUUUUGGUUCAAAGCUGGGGAGGAAGGGAAGUCUUUUCAUUUGUGGGUGAAUUAAGCAUCCAUUUUUCUUUGUUUCCUGCCUCUAGUGCCUGAUUUCCCAGAGGGCGCGAGGAGGUGGCUCCUGUGACAAGUAAAAGGGGAGCUCUCUCAUGAACUCUGGCACCACGCUCCUGGAGGGAUACCCUUGGCUGGUUACGUGAGGUUUCCAGACGCAAGAUGCAACCUCAGUGGGAAGAGCACAGCAGGGACAAAGCAUCAAGCCCAAAGAUCAAAUCAUCCAUGAGGUUGCUGGUGGCUUAUUGCAUGCUGGAACUCAACGUACAGUCCAGCUUGAUGCACCGGAGCUGGGUCGAUCCCAGCACUGGACAAGGAGGUUCCUGGCUCCUGCAACACUGGUGUCCUGUGCUGUCUGGUGGCUUCACUCUGCCUCCUCGAUGGGUUUAGCAAAUAAAACUGCUCAGGACAGAAAUCCA
RNAcentral lists this long non-coding RNA (832 nucleotides) under Calidris pugnax (ruff). RNAcentral's name for it is "lncRNA (ENSCPUG00000009762.1)". The record is from RNAcentral. Lineage: Eukaryota; Metazoa; Chordata; Aves; Charadriiformes; Scolopacidae.